This 49-nucleotide microRNA precursor is filed under the name Schistosoma mattheei. RNAcentral describes it as "mir-3492 microRNA precursor family". It matches the Rfam family "mir-3492 microRNA precursor family", at positions 1 to 49 of the family's 79-position model. The record is from Rfam by way of RNAcentral. Lineage: Eukaryota; Metazoa; Platyhelminthes; Trematoda; Strigeidida; Schistosomatidae.
AGCCUUCUGUAUCCGUGCUGAGAUUUCGUCACACACCAGACCACAAGGG